RNAcentral lists this long non-coding RNA (2249 nucleotides) under Medicago truncatula (barrel medic). RNAcentral describes it as "long non-coding RNA (MTRU_LNC006078)". The record is from RNAcentral. Lineage: Eukaryota; Viridiplantae; Streptophyta; Magnoliopsida; Fabales; Fabaceae.
CCCAAGAUCCGACCGUGAUAAUAGCCCGUAUGUAUACAUUUGUAUACUAAAUUGCAGUAGCUUAUACAUUUGUAUACAUUUUCCUUAUUCAGUUUCAGACUAAAACAAACAUACGACGAUGGUGAAUCUUCUUCCACAGUUCAAAGACAAAACCAAAACGUGCAAGAAACUGUCAAACAUUAAUUCCACUAUCAGACUCCACUUAUUUUGUUAAGAAGUAGUAUUUAUAAGUAGAAUAACUUUUUGAGAAAAUUUCAGGGAUUUUAAAUACAUUAAUAAAAUUAAAUAAGGUUUUUUUUUUUCUUUCUAAAACUGUUUUUCUUGACAAAAGUUACUCCGCAUUAGAAUAAUCAUGGAUCCUCUCCGAUCAUUGAAGGGUCUGUAGAACGUUAGCCACUUAAUUGAUUGUAUUAAAUCGAGUCAAAAUCAUAAGAAAUAGUUGAAUGAUAGAGAUUUACAUUGCUUCCACUAAAAAUCCACAAGAGAGAAUCCCAAUCCGUGUUAGAUUAUCCUCCUUGAUGAAUUCAGCAUAACAUUAUUUAAAACAACCUAUUCAAUAUUUACUCCAAAACACAUGUUGAGACCUAAGAUAUUUUUUUUUACAAGUCCAUAAUAGUUUUAUACUAAGAUUAUUAUUAUUAUUUUUUUAAAACAAAUGCUGACAUGUGUUAUAAAGAUACACAUUAAAGAACCACGUAUCAUCACCUUGUUAUCAAAUUCUUAAAAAUAUGAUCAUUCCCUUUUUCAAUUUAAAAUUUCUACUUUUGAAUUCUUAUCACGUGUGUUAAUUUUUUUUUUUUUUUUAAAUCAAAUAUACAAAAUCAUUAAUUAAAUUCACCUUUUUCAUUGAAGGAAGUGACCAAAAUACCCAUAUUUUAAAACAAUCGGUAGUAUUGAUAAGAGGUAUAUUUGGAAAAAAAUAAUAAAUGUAUCUAAAAAUUUGUAGAUGAUCUUAUAUUUAAGGACAAACAUUUUUUUAUAAAUAGUUUUUUAAUUAGGAACGAAUGAAGUAUACAACUGUUUCAAAAUUACUUUUCAUAUUUGAAAACAAAAUAAUAGCAUUAGAAAUGAACGUAUUUAAAAAAAAAAUGCAUUUAAAAAUUUGUAUAUUCAAAAACAAACAAUUUUUUUAUAAAUAACCUUAUAAUUAAAAAACAGAUAAAGUAUAUUAUGCCUGGUAUAUUAUUCCUUAACAUAAUAGUUUACUAUCUCCGUUCCUUUUUUAAUUGUCACUUUUUGAAAUUUUACACAAACCAAGACAAUUAAUAAAUGUUACUAUUUUUGAUACAAUUGUUUUUACUUUUACUAUAAUGACCUUAUUAAUUUAAUAUUUCAUUUUAUAUGCUUCUCUCUCCGCAAUAAAUAUCUAAGGGUAAUAUUAGUAAAACAACAUUUAAUAUUACAUUGAAGUAUUGAACUUUGAAAAUGACAGUUAAAUAAGAACAAAAUUUUUCUCUAAAAGUGACAAUUAAAAAGGAGAAAGUAUAAAGUAAUUAACUGUGUCACUUAAUAUUACAUGAAAGAGUAAUAUUCAUACAAAUAUUUGUGUCUACAAUUACCACAACUUUAAUUUUUUUAGGGAAAAUAACACAACUUUAUUAAAAUCACAAAAGCAAAUCCCAAUAAUAAAUAUUCCCUCCGUCCCUUACUAUUUGAUUCAUUUGAAAUUUUUUUAAUUUUGACCUAACUAAUUUUGACCGUAUUUUUCAACUAAUAUACAAAGAUAAAUAACAUCAUAUAAGAUGUCGUUAGAUUCGUCUCGAUGAGUAUUUUCAAAAUAUCAAAUUUUUAUAAUUUUUUCUAAUAUAUUAUUCAAGAUAUUUAAGCUCAAAGUUAUGCAUUGACAUGCAUAAUAAGAUCAAUUGUGUCAAGUAUUAAAGGACGGAAAGGGACGGAGGGAGUAGCUCUUCUUUGAAAAACCAAAGAAAGAAUAUGUAAGUGGAGAUUGAGUGUCAGAAUUCAAACCUGUAGCAGUCAGUGGUGCCUUCCUUCCUGUUCCAAAAUCUCCCUAUUCUCAAUGCUACUCCCCUAAACAAAACAAUCCAUAACCAAAUCAAAAUCACAUUUUUCAUCAUAUAAAAAUUCUUAAUCUCAUCCUCUCUUUUCAUUACAUUCUCCCAAUAAAUAACUAAAACCAAAACCAAAAUCUCAAACCUUGUUGCAAAAAUGAACAUGUUAGGCCUAAGAGACUUAGUUCUCAUAGCUCAAACUCCUUCAUCACUUCACAACCAACAAAACCAAACCAUUUC